UAGACACUCGCACACUCGAUCCACUCCCAGGCCAGCAAUUUUCCUAAACAGCGUGGCUCCUCUGCACCUAUUUAAAGGCCAUUCAGUGGCCGAAUUAUAAUCUCUUCCAUUCGGCAAUUCCGCAAGCUCCACCGCCUUCGGGUUCUUUUUCUUUUCUUUUUCUUUUUUAUUUUAUUUUUCUGUUUUUAAUUCAGUAAAUAAGUGGCUGAUUUUCCAUCUACUUGAAUAUUGGUUGAAACUUUAGUUAUUUAAUGGGUUGUGAGACUUGAUCAAAUAUUAUUUAAUUUUGGAAAUUCAAUAUUCAUAUAAUUUUAUAUUUAAUUUUCAUAUUAUUUUGUUAUUGAAAUCUACGUUGAUUUUUUAUUGCAAAAUAAUUAUUUGUUAGUUUGAAUAAUUUAAGUCCGUAAUUGCUUGGGUUAUUCUUACAUGAGAACACUUGGGACAAAACCCAAGAAAAUUGCAUGAUCUAGCGUUAUCUCCAUACGUUUGGGUAGCUAGGAUUGGAUCUCUCUAUUUCUUAAUGCAAUUGACAAUUGUUUUGAUGCCUAAGGCCCAAGGACGUUCCUUGGCAAUUUGUUGAUUAGUAAUUAAUUAGAGGACGUUCCCUAAUUGGUUUAAUCAUAAGGAGAGAUAAUGGUGGUGAGAAGCGUCUUCCAUCUCCAUAAACUAAUCUAUUGAAUUAACCCAAAAGAACAAAGUGUCUGUGAUCGAUUCCAAUGACUAAAGUGGAUCCAAUACUUCAACUAGAGUUUUCUUAUUAUUUAUUUCUCUUUUAUUUUAUCAUUCGUUUAUUUUAAUUGCUUUUAGUAGUUUAUUAAUUAAAUCAAUCUCAAACCCCCCCAUUUUAUUUUAAUUGCAAUUUAUUUUUAUCUC
RNAcentral lists this long non-coding RNA (873 nucleotides) under Manihot esculenta (cassava). RNAcentral describes it as "long non-coding RNA (MESC_LNC003212)". Lineage: Eukaryota; Viridiplantae; Streptophyta; Magnoliopsida; Malpighiales; Euphorbiaceae. The record is from RNAcentral.